RNAcentral lists this ribosomal RNA (497 nucleotides) under uncultured bacterium. RNAcentral's name for it is "partial 16S ribosomal RNA". It matches the Rfam family "Bacterial small subunit ribosomal RNA", at positions 28 to 507 of the family's 1533-position model. The record is from RNAcentral.
GAUGAACGCUGGCGGCGUGCCUAAUACAUGCAAGUCGAGCGAACAGACGAGGAGCUUGCUCCUCUGACGUUAGCGGCGGACGGGUGAGUAACACGUGGAUAACCUACCUAUAAGACUGGGAUAACUUCGGGAAACCGGAGCUAAUACCGGAUAAUAUAUUGAACCGCAUGGUUCAAUAGUGAAAGACGGUUUUGCUGUCACUUAUAGAUGGAUCCGCGCCUCAUUAGCUAGUUGUUAAGGUAACGGCUUACCAAGGCGACGUUGCGUAGCCGACCUGAGAGGGUGAUCGGCCACACUGGAACUGAGACACGGUCCAGACUCCUACGGGAGGCAGCAGUAGGGAAUCUUCCGCAAUGGGCGAAAGCCUGACGGAGCAACGCCGCGUGAGUGAUGAAGGUCUUCGGAUCGUAAAACUCUGUUAUUAGGGAAGAACAAAUGUGUAAGUAACUAUGCACGUCUUGACGGUACCUAAUCAGAAAGCCACGGCUAACUACGUG